RNAcentral lists this ribosomal RNA (616 nucleotides) under Orbilia fissilis. RNAcentral describes it as "eukaryotic LSU rRNA". It matches the Rfam family "Eukaryotic large subunit ribosomal RNA", at positions 1 to 630 of the family's 3401-position model. The record is from RNAcentral. Lineage: Eukaryota; Fungi; Ascomycota; Orbiliomycetes; Orbiliales; Orbiliaceae.
UGACCUCAGAUCAGACGAGGAUACCCGCUGAACUUAAGCAUAUCAAUAAGCGGAGGAAAAGAAACCAACAGGGAUUGCCUCAGUAACGGCGAGUGAAGCGGCAAGAGCUCAAAUUUGAAAUCUGGCUCCUUUGGUGCCCGAGUUGUAAUUUGAAGAGGAUGCCUCGGUUGCGGUCCCGGCCUAAGUUCUUUGGAACAAGACGUCGCAGAGGGUGAGAAUCCCGUACGCGGCUGGCGGCCUGCUUCCAUGUGUGGCUCCUUCGAAGAGUCGAGUUGUUUGGGAAUGCAGCUCAAAAUGGGUGGUAAAUUUCAUCUAAAGCUAAAUACUGGCGAGAGACCGAUAGCGCACAAGUAGAGUGAUCGAAAGAUGAAAAGCACUUUGAAAAGAGAGUUAAACAGUACGUGAAAUUGUUGAAAGGGAAGCGCUUGCAAUCAGACUCGCUAGCGGUUGAUCAACGUUCCUUCUGGUGCGUGCACUCUUCCGCCUGCGGGCCAGCAUCGGUUGGCGCGGCGGGACAAAGGCGUCGGGAAUGUGGCUCUCUUCGGGGAGUGUUAUAGCCCGGCGUGCAAUGCCGCCAGCUGCCGACCGAGGUCCGCGCUUCGGCUAGGAUGCUGGC